RNAcentral lists this ribosomal RNA (446 nucleotides) under uncultured bacterium. RNAcentral describes it as "partial 16S ribosomal RNA". It matches the Rfam family "Bacterial small subunit ribosomal RNA", at positions 338 to 795 of the family's 1533-position model. The record is from RNAcentral.
CCUACGGGUGGCAGCAGUCGAGAAUCAUUCACAAUGGGGGAAACCCUGAUGGUGCGACGCCGCGUGGGGGAAUGAAGGUCUUCGGAUUGUAAACCCCUGUCAUGUGGGAGCAAAUUAAAAAGAUAGUACCACAAGAGGAAGAGACGGCUAACUCUGUGCCAGCAGCCGCGGUAAUACAGAGGUCUCAAGCGUUGUUCGGAAUCACUGGGCGUAAGGCGUGCGUAGGCUGUUUCGUAAGUCGUGUGUGAAAGGCGCGGGCUCAACCCGCGGACGGCACAUGAUACUGCGAGACUAGAGUAAUGGAGGGGGGACCGGAAUUCUCGGUGUAGCAGUGAAAUGCGUAGAUAUCGAGAGGAACACUCGUGGCGAAGGCGGGUUCCUGGACAUUAACUGACGCUGAGGCACGAAGGCCAGGGGAGCGAAAGGGAUUAGAUACCCGGGUAGUC